CCUACGGGUGGCUGCAGUGGGGAAUAUUGGACAAUGGGCGAAAGCCUGAUCCAGCCAUGCCGCGUGUGUGAAGAAGGCCUUCGGGUUGUAAAGCACUUUCAGUGGGGAAGAAAGCCUUGGGGCUAAUACCCUCGAGGAAGGACAUCACCCACAGAAGAAGCACCGGCUAACUCCGUGCCAGCAGCCGCGGUAAUACGGAGGGUGCGAGCGUUAAUCGGAAUUACUGGGCGUAAAGCGCGCGUAGGCGGUCUGAUAAGCCGGUUGUGAAAGCCCCGGGCUCAACCUGGGAACGGCAUCCGGGAAGGGGAGGCAAGAGGGCAGGGGAGGAGGGGGGAAUCCCCGGGGGAGGGGGGAAAUGCGUAGAGAUAGGGAGGAAUGCCGGGGGCGAAGGCGGUCUUCUGGAUUGACACUGACGCUGGGGUGGGAAAGCGGGGGUAGCACACAGGAUUAGAUACCCCUUUCGUC
Molecule: ribosomal RNA, 465 nt
Filed under: Vreelandella stevensii
Lineage: Bacteria; Pseudomonadati; Pseudomonadota; Gammaproteobacteria; Oceanospirillales; Halomonadaceae
Description: partial 16S ribosomal RNA
Rfam family: Bacterial small subunit ribosomal RNA
Source: RNAcentral